UACAGAGGUCCCAAGCGUUGUUCGGAUUCACUGGGCGUAAAGGGUGCGUAGGCGGUCGGGUAAGUCUGUUGUGAAAUCCCCGGGCUCAACCUGGGAAUGGCAAUGGAUACUGGCGGGCUAGAGUGUGUCAGAGGAUGGUGGAAUUCCCGGUGUAGCGGUGAAAUGCGUAGAGAUCGGGAGGAACAUCAGUGGCGAAGGCGGCCAUCUGGGACAACACUGACGCUGAAGCACGAAAGCGUGGGGAGCAAACAGG
This 253-nucleotide ribosomal RNA is filed under the name uncultured bacterium. RNAcentral describes it as "partial 16S ribosomal RNA". It matches the Rfam family "Bacterial small subunit ribosomal RNA", at positions 524 to 776 of the family's 1533-position model. The record is from RNAcentral.